Molecule: RNA transcript, 1321 nt
Organism: Daktulosphaira vitifoliae (grape phylloxera)
Lineage: Eukaryota; Metazoa; Arthropoda; Insecta; Hemiptera; Phylloxeridae
Exons: 8
Source: RefSeq, a predicted model, not a curated record
GUUAAAUAUUUUUAAUUGUACGAGUAGUUGUGAAUUCAUUUUAGUACCAUAUACAGUAUCAUAAAUCACUUAAAUAAUAUUAAUUUGUAGUUUUUUAUACGAAUAGAAAUGAAUAUCUUCUGUGGAGUAUUAGCAUAUCUAAUUUUUUGCCUCAAUAGUGCAUUUGUAGCGACAUAUGCAACAGAUAUAAUAGACACUUUAACAGAAGAUUUAAAAAUCAUAAGAGUUUUCAGAUUAAAAUCAAAGUUUACCGAUUGCAAAUAUAGUGAUAAUAAAAGCUUAAGUAAAAAAUGUAAAUGCUUCGAAGUUGAGGAUUAUCGAGAGGACAACGCUGUUGGUAUAGCAAUUACUGAAGAUGGCAAAACUUUAGUCAACGGAAACAAAUAUUUGGAGUUUGUUGGAAAUAAAUUAUACCCUGAAAAUUCUUUUGGGAACAAUGUUGUAUACGAUGAAUCUGCUUGGACUUUAACUAAUGAAUUUGAUGGAGAUAUACUACAAAUGAAUACAAAUUACAAACAUUCCGGUAGUGCUUUAAAAAUUACAUGGGUACAAAAGUCAACAAUGGAUGCAUGCAUAUCAUUAAAUUUAGAUAAUCAAUUAGAUAACAUACAUUUGACUGUUUUAAAGGACGGAGAUAGUAAUUCAAUUUUAAGUGAAUCACUUAAAGUUACAGACAGACAAGUGACUUUGAGAAUGAAAUUAAACAAUACGUUUUUAGAAAACAGUAAAUACCAUUUAAUAAUUGAUAGAACUUCCUUAAAUAAUAGUGAUUCACCAAAAAAAUUGGUUAUUUGGAGAAUAGCCCAAUGUACAGACAACAAUAAAAAUUAUGAAUUUUAUAAAAGGAGUAUAAACAGUGGUCCGAAAUUAAUUUGCAAAGAAGGCAGCUAUUAUCAAAAUGAAUAUCCUCCAUAUGAUCAUAAAGGUCAGAAUGCAGUGAAAAUAAAUUCGGAUUUAACUGUUCUUUUUCUUGCUCGUCAAAGGAAACGGGUUGUCAAAAUUUAAUAUUUUUCACACCGUUUAUGAAAGAAAUGAAGUCGGCAUUUUGUGCAUCGGGUUAUUCUGGGCAAUAUUGCGAUCAAAAAUGUAAAUCUGGCACUUAUGGUCGCGGUUGUCUAAAAAAAUGUCCAGAUAGUUGUGCAAACACGUGUGAAAUUUACACAGGAAUAUGCCCUUAGGAAUAUAGCAAAGAUCUCACAAGUUUAUCAAGAUUUUUCAAACAUAUUCGAAUUAUUCGAUCUAACGAAGAGUAACAAAUGACUUGUUAAAUUGUUUUUAUUUUUUUGUAAAUAAAUAAAAUGAUAUAUGUUUGACUUCUUAA